GGAGGGAUGCGAGAGCGGCCGAAUCGGAUGGUCUCGAAAACCAUUGACCUUACGGGGUCCGUGGGUUCAAAUCCCACUCCCUCCG
Molecule: transfer RNA, 85 nt
Filed under: Acidimicrobiia bacterium
Lineage: Bacteria; Bacillati; Actinomycetota; Acidimicrobiia
Also listed under: 1 other name
Description: tRNA-Ser
Rfam family: tRNA
About the family: Transfer RNA (tRNA) molecules are approximately 80 nucleotides in length. Their secondary structure includes four short double-helical elements and three loops (D, anti-codon, and T loops).
Source: RNAcentral